GAUGAACGCUAGCGGCAGGCUUAACACAUGCAAGUCGAGGGGUAUAACAGCAAUAUUAGAGACCGGCGCACGGGUGCGUAACGCGUAUGCAAUCUACCUUUAGCUGAGGGAUAGCCCAGAGAAAUUUGGAUUAAUACCUCAUAGUAUAGUAACAUCGCAUGAUGAUGCUAUUAAAGAAACAUCGGCCAAAGAUGAGCAUGCGUCCCAUUAGCUAGUUGGUAUGGUAACGGCAUACCAAGGCAACGAUGGGUAGGGGUCCUGAGAGGGAGAUCCCCCACACGGGUACUGAGACACGGACCAGCCUCCUACGUGAGGCAGCAGUGAGGAAUAUUGGACAAUGGGCUAGAGCCUGAUCCAGCCAUGCCGCGUGCAGGAAGACGGUCUUAUGGAUUGUAAACUGCUUUUACACAGGAAGAAACAACAUUACGUGUAAUGUCUUGACGGUACUGUGAGAAUAAGGAUCGGCUAACUCCGUGCCAGCCGCCGCAGUAA
Molecule: ribosomal RNA, 492 nt
Filed under: uncultured bacterium
Lineage: Bacteria
Description: partial 16S ribosomal RNA
Rfam family: Bacterial small subunit ribosomal RNA
Source: RNAcentral